Molecule: ribosomal RNA, 680 nt
Filed under: Choanephora cucurbitarum
Lineage: Eukaryota; Fungi; Mucoromycota; Mucoromycetes; Mucorales; Choanephoraceae
Description: eukaryotic LSU rRNA
Rfam family: Eukaryotic large subunit ribosomal RNA
Source: RNAcentral
AAAAUAACAAUGAUUUCCCUAGUAACGGCGAGUGAACAGGAAAGAGCUCAAAGUUGGAACCUGUUUGGUUUAGCCAAACCGGAUUGUAAACUGUAGAAGUGUUUUCCUGACACGCCUGACGAAAAAGUCCAUUGGAACAUGGUGACAUAGAGGGUGAGAGCCCCGUAUUUUGUCAGAGCUGUUGUCUCUUGUGAUACACUUUCAAAGAGUCAGGUUGUUUGGGAAUGCAGCCUAAAUUGGGUGGUAAAUCUCACCUAAAGCUAAAUAUUGGCAAAAGACCGAUAGCGAACAAGUACCGUGAGGGAAAGAUGAAAAGAACUUUGAAAAGAGAGUUAAACAGUAUGUGAAAUUGUUAAAAGGGAACCGUUUGGAGCCAGACUGGCUUGAUUGUAAUCAAUCUAGAUCUCGAUCUGGAUGCACUUGCAGUCUAUGCCUGCCAACGACAAUUCAUUCUGGAGGAAAAAACUAAGUGGAAUGUGGCCCCUCGGGGUGUUAUAGACUCUUAGAAAAUACUCUGGUUUGGAUUGAGGAACGCAGUGAAUGCUAUUUGGCGAAGAUGCUGGGUGCUUUUAUUUUUGUUGUCUAGAAUUUCUGCUUCGGGUGGUGCUAGAUACCACGAGUAAAACUCGCCUAGUAUACUUUUUAUUCACUUAGGUUGUUGGCUUAAUGACUCUAAAUGA